CUACGGGGCGCAGCAGUGGGGAAUAUUGCACAAUGGGCGCAAGCCUGAUGCAGCCAUGCCGCGUGUAUGAAGAAGGCCUUCGGGUUGUAAAGUACUUUCAGCGGGGAGGACGGGAGUAAAGUUAAUACCUUUGCUCAUUGACGUUACCCGCAGAAGAAGCACCGGCUAACUCCGUGCCAGCAGCCGCGGUAAUACGGAGGGUGCAAGCGUUAAUCGGAAUUACUGGGCGUAAAGCGCACGCAGGCGGUUUGUUAAGUCAGGUGUGAAAUCCCCGGGCUCAACCUGGGAACUGCAUCUGAUACUGGCAAGCUUGAGUCUAGUAGAGGGGGGUAGAAUUCCAGGUGUAGCGGUGAAAUGCGUAGAGGUCUGGAGGAAUACCGGUGGCGAAGGGGGCCCCCUGGACGAAGACUGACGCUCAGGUGCGAAAGCGUGGGGAGCAAACAGGAUUAGAUACCCCCGUAGUC
RNAcentral lists this ribosomal RNA (464 nucleotides) under uncultured bacterium. RNAcentral describes it as "partial 16S ribosomal RNA". It matches the Rfam family "Bacterial small subunit ribosomal RNA", at positions 339 to 795 of the family's 1533-position model. The record is from RNAcentral.